RNAcentral lists this ribosomal RNA (254 nucleotides) under uncultured bacterium. RNAcentral describes it as "partial 16S ribosomal RNA". It matches the Rfam family "Bacterial small subunit ribosomal RNA", at positions 524 to 776 of the family's 1533-position model. The record is from RNAcentral.
UACGAAGGGGGCUAGCGUUGUUCGGAAUUACUGGGCGUAAAGGGCGCGUAGGCGGUACUUCAAGUCAGGCGUGAAAGCCCCGGGCUCAACCUGGGAACCGCGCUUGAGACUGGAGAACUAGAGUUCGGGAGAGGGAAGCGGAAUUCCGGGUGUAGCGGUGAAAUGCGUAGAUAUCCGGAGGAACACCGGUGGCGAAGGCGGCUUCCUGGACCGACCACUGACGCUGAGGCGCGAAAGCUAGGGGAGCAAACGGG